Molecule: ribosomal RNA, 2925 nt
Filed under: Escherichia coli
Lineage: Bacteria; Pseudomonadati; Pseudomonadota; Gammaproteobacteria; Enterobacterales; Enterobacteriaceae
Description: 23S ribosomal RNA
Rfam family: Bacterial large subunit ribosomal RNA
Source: RNAcentral
GGGUUGUGAGGUUAAGCGACUAAGCGUACACGGUGGAUGCCCUGGCAGUCAGAGGCGAUGAAGGACGUGCUAAUCUGCGAUAAGCGUCGGUGAGGUGAUAUGAACCGUUAUAACCGGCGAUUUCCGAAUGGGGAAACCCAGUGUGUUUCGACACACUAUCAUUAACUGAAUCCAUAGGUUAAUGAGGCGAACCGGGGGAACUGAAACAUCUAAGUACCCCGAGGAAAAGAAAUCAACCGAGAUUCCCCCAGUAGCGGCGAGCGAACGGGGAGGAGCCCAGAGCCUGAAUCAGUGUGUGUGUUAGUGGAAGCGUCUGGAAAGGCGUGCGAUACAGGGUGACAGCCCCGUACACAAAAAUGCACAUAUUGUGAGCUCGAUGAGUAGGGCGGGACACGUGGUAUCCUGUCUGAAUAUGGGGGGACCAUCCUCCAAGGCUAAAUACUCCUGACUGACCGAUAGUGAACCAGUACCGUGAGGGAAAGGCGAAAAGAACCCCGGCGAGGGGAGUGAAAAAGAACCUGAAACCGUGUACGUACAAGCAGUGGGAGCCUCUUAAUGGGGUGACUGCGUACCUUUUGUAUAAUGGGUCAGCGACUUAUAUUCUGUAGCAAGGUUAACCGAAUAGGGGAGCCGAAGGGAAACCGAGUCUUAACUGGGCGUUAAGUUGCAGGGUAUAGACCCGAAACCCGGUGAUCUAGCCAUGGGCAGGUUGAAGGUUGGGUAACACUAACUGGAGGACCGAACCGACUAAUGUUGAAAAAUUAGCGGAUGACUUGUGGCUGGGGGUGAAAGGCCAAUCAAACCGGGAGAUAGCUGGUUCUCCCCGAAAGCUAUUUAGGUAGCGCCUCGUGAAUUCAUCUCCGGGGGUAGAGCACUGUUUCGGCAAGGGGGUCAUCCCGACUUACCAACCCGAUGCAAACUGCGAAUACCGGAGAAUGUUAUCACGGGAGACACACGGCGGGUGCUAACGUCCGUCGUGAAGAGGGAAACAACCCAGACCGCCAGCUAAGGUCCCAAAGUCAUGGUUAAGUGGGAAACGAUGUGGGAAGGCCCAGACAGCCAGGAUGUUGGCUUAGAAGCAGCCAUCAUUUAAAGAAAGCGUAAUAGCUCACUGGUCGAGUCGGCCUGCGCGGAAGAUGUAACGGGGCUAAACCAUGCACCGAAGCUGCGGCAGCGACACUAUGUGUUGUUGGGUAGGGGAGCGUUCUGUAAGCCUGUGAAGGUGGCCUGUGAGGGUUGCUGGAGGUAUCAGAAGUGCGAAUGCUGACAUAAGUAACGAUAAAGCGGGUGAAAAGCCCGCUCGCCGGAAGACCAAGGGUUCCUGUCCAACGUUAAUCGGGGCAGGGUGAGUCGACCCCUAAGGCGAGGCCGAAAGGCGUAGUCGAUGGGAAACAGGUUAAUAUUCCUGUACUUGGUGUUACUGCGAAGGGGGGACGGAGAAGGCUAUGUUGGCCGGGCGACGGUUGUCCCGGUUUAAGCGUGUAGGCUGGUUUUCCAGGCAAAUCCGGAAAACCAAGGCUGAGGCGUGAUGACGAGGCACUACGGUGCUGAAGYGACAAAUGCCCUGCUUCCAGGAAAAGCCUCUAAGCAUCAGGUAACAUCAAAUCGUACCCAAAACCGACACAGGUGGUCAGGUAGAGAAUACCAAGGCGCUUGAGAGAACUCGGGUGAAGGAACUAGGCAAAAUGGUGCCGUAACUUCGGGAGAAGGCACGCUGAUAUGUAGGUGAAGCGACUUGCUCGUGGAGCUGAAAUCAGUCGAAGAUACCAGCUGGCUGCAACUGUUUAUUAAAAACACAGCACUGUGCAAACACGAAAGUGGACGUAUACGGUGUGACGCCUGCCCGGUGCCGGAAGGUUAAUUGAUGGGGUUAGCGGUAACGCGAAGCUCUUGAUCGAAGCCCCGGUAAACGGCGGCCGUAACUAUAACGGUCCUAAGGUAGCGAAAUUCCUUGUCGGGUAAGUUCCGACCUGCACGAAUGGCGUAAUGAUGGCCAGGCUGUCUCCACCCGAGACUCAGUGAAAUUGAACUCGCUGUGAAGAUGCAGUGUACCCGCGGCAAGACGGAAAGACCCCGUGAACCUUUACUAUAGCUUGACACUGAACAUUGAGCCUUGAUGUGUAGGAUAGGUGGGAGGCUUUGAAGUGUGGACGCCAGUCUGCAUGGAGCCGACCUUGAAAUACCACCCUUUAAUGUUUGAUGUUCUAACGUUGGCCCGUAAUCCGGGUUGCGGACAGUGUCUGGUGGGUAGUUUGACUGGGGCGGUCUCCUCCUAAAGAGUAACGGAGGAGCACGAAGGUUGGCUAAUCCUGGUCGGACAUCAGGAGGUUAGUGCAAUGGCAUAAGCCAGCUUGACUGCGAGCGUGACGGCGCGAGCAGGUGCGAAAGCAGGUCAUAGUGAUCCGGUGGUUCUGAAUGGAAGGGCCAUCGCUCAACGGAUAAAAGGUACUCCGGGGAUAACAGGCUGAUACCGCCCAAGAGUUCAUAUCGACGGCGGUGUUUGGCACCUCGAUGUCGGCUCAUCACAUCCUGGGGCUGAAGUAGGUCCCAAGGGUAUGGCUGUUCGCCAUUUAAAGUGGUACGCGAGCUGGGUUUAGAACGUCGUGAGACAGUUCGGUCCCUAUCUGCCGUGGGCGCUGGAGAACUGAGGGGGGCUGCUCCUAGUACGAGAGGACCGGAGUGGACGCAUCACUGGUGUUCGGGUUGUCAUGCCAAUGGCACUGCCCGGUAGCUAAAUGCGGAAGAGAUAAGUGCUGAAAGCAUCUAAGCACGAAACUUGCCCCGAGAUGAGUUCUCCCUGACUCCUUGAGRGUCCUGAAGGAACGUUGAAGACGACGACGUUGAUAGGCCGGGUGUGUAAGCGCAGCGAUGCGUUGAGCUAACCGGUACUAAUGAACCGUGAGGCUUAACCUUACAACGCCGAAG